GGGCCCGCACAAGCGGUGGAGCAUGUGGUUUAAUUCGAUGCAACGCGAAGAACCUUACCAGGGUUUGACAUCCUGCGAAUCUCUUGGAAACUUGAGAGUGCCUUCGGGAGCGCAGUGACAGGUGGUGCAUGGCUGUCGUCAGCUCGUGUCGUGAGAUGUUGGGUUAAGUCCCGCAACGAGCGCAACCCACAUCCCUAGUUGCCAGCAGUUCGGCUGGGCACUCUAUGGAAACUGCCCGUGAUAAGCGGGAGGAAGGUGUGGAUGACGUCAAGUCCUCAUGGCCCUUACGGGUUGGGCUACACACGUGCUACAAUGGUGGUGACAAUGGGU
This 330-nucleotide ribosomal RNA is filed under the name uncultured bacterium. Its description in RNAcentral is "bacterial SSU rRNA". It matches the Rfam family "Bacterial small subunit ribosomal RNA", at positions 917 to 1247 of the family's 1533-position model. The record is from RNAcentral.